Molecule: ribosomal RNA, 486 nt
Filed under: uncultured bacterium
Lineage: Bacteria
Description: partial 16S ribosomal RNA
Rfam family: Bacterial small subunit ribosomal RNA
Source: RNAcentral
AUUGAACGCUGGCGGCAUGCCUUACACAUGCAAGUCGAACGGCAGCACGGGUGCUUGCACCUGGUGGCGAGUGGCGAACGGGUGAGUAAUACAUCGGAACAUGUCCUGUAGUGGGGGAUAGCCCGGCGAAAGCCGGAUUAAUACCGCAUACGAUCUACGGAUGAAAGCGGGGGACCUUCGGGCCUCGCGCUAUAGGGUUGGCCGAUGGCUGAUUAGCUAGUUGGUGGGGUAAAGGCCUACCAAGGCGACGAUCAGCAGCUGGUCUGAGAGGACGACCAGCCACACUGGGACUGAGACACGGCCCAGACUCCUACGGGAGGCAGCAGUGGGGAAUUUUGGACAAAGGGCGAAAGCCUGAUCCAGCAAUGCCGCGUGUGUGAAGAAGGCCUUCGGGUUGUAAAGCACUUUUGUCCGGAAAGAAAUCCUUGGCCCUAAUACGGUCGGGGGAUGACGGUACCGGAAGAAUAAGCACCGGCUAACUACGUG